GACGAACGCUGGCGGCGUGCUUAACACAUGCAAGUCGAACGGUGAAGGGAUAAGCUUGCUGGUUCUGGAUUAGUGGCGGACGGGUGAGUAACACGUGGGUAACCUGCCUCUUUCUUUUGGAUAACCGCGUGAAAGUGUGGCUAAUACGGGAUAUUAUGCUGCUGCUGCUGGGUGGGUGUGGAAAAGCUAUUUUUUCGUCGGUGGUUGGGCUCGCGGCGGUUCAGUUUGUUGGUGGUGGGAUGGCCUACUAAGGCGGUGACGGGUAGCCGGCCAGGUGGGGGGCACGGUCAGACGGGGACUGAGGCACAGCCCAGACACCGACGGGAGGCAGCAGUAGGGAAUAUAGCAGAAGGGACGCAAGCCGGAUGCAGCGACGCCGCGUGAGGAAUGGAGGCGUUCGGGAUGUGAACCUCUUUGGCCAGAAAAGCAGGCCAGUCCAUUGUGGGUGGGUUGACGGUACCUGGACAAGAAGCGCCGGCUAACUACGUG
RNAcentral lists this ribosomal RNA (489 nucleotides) under uncultured bacterium. Its description in RNAcentral is "partial 16S ribosomal RNA". It matches the Rfam family "Bacterial small subunit ribosomal RNA", at positions 28 to 507 of the family's 1533-position model. The record is from RNAcentral.